This 1414-nucleotide long non-coding RNA is filed under the name Macaca fascicularis (crab-eating macaque). RNAcentral describes it as "lncRNA (ENSMFAG00000062594.1)". The record is from RNAcentral. Lineage: Eukaryota; Metazoa; Chordata; Mammalia; Primates; Cercopithecidae.
UUUUUCUGAGACAGGGCCUUGCACCGUCGCCCAGGCUAGAGUGCAGCCAGACGCUCAUAGCUCUUAUCAGUAACUUCUUUACAACACUUCUGCAAUUUAGGAAGCACUCUCACAUUAUUUCAUUCACUCUCCCCAACAUUACCAAGAGUGAGGAAUUAGAUCUUUUUAUAGAUGAAGGAAUUGGGACUCCCUGAAGUCAACUGUCUCAUAGUUACGUUUUGUUCAUUCAUUCAUCAAAUAUUGAGUGCCUGAUGUGAGAUUUACUGAAAUUAGAUUUGAGAACAAUUUUCCUGAAUUCAAGUCAAGGGUUUAUUCCACUAUUCUCAAUUACUUUAUCACCAGGGUUAUAAACCCAAAGAAACUGAGUAACAGUGUGAUUUUGUUGAGGACCCACGCAACAUUAGUCUCAGAAAGGUUCCAAUGUCAUUUGUAAAAUUCAAGGUUACCAUCAGCAGAGGCAGUCAUUCCUCUCAGGGCUUGUUACCUAAUGCACUAACUUUCAUUGUAGGUAAUUCCAUUCAAGACACAUUUGAUGACUAUAUCUACAGGUUUUGAAGUUGUUCAUAUUGGGUUUCGACACUUACUAGCUGUGGGGCCUUAGAUCAAUUACUUAAACCUUUUUGAGUUUCAGUUUUAUCAUUUGUAAAACGGAUAUAAUCCUGAUGCCUUUGGACCAAGUGGUCAUGGAAAUGAAGAGAGAUAAGUAUUUAAAAGUCCAUGCUCAUAGUAGCUGUGGUUUCCAACUGCGUGAUGAAGUUUUAAAAUCUGCAUUCAAAUGAGAACAACUAUGUCGACGUAAAGUUACAAGCUAACUAUUCUUGGUAAGUACUGUUCUUUAUUCUGGAGAAUAUCACUUUACAGUUUGGUGUUAAAUGCUCUUUUAUAAAUUUAAGGUGCCAGUAGCUGUCUACUUGAACGGCAUGCUAAAUUUGGCAUGCCGUCGUCCCAGCGCUUUGGGAGGCCGAGGCGGGCGGAUCGCGAGGUCAGGAGAUCGAGACCAUCCUGGCUAACACAGUGAAACCCCGUCUCUACUAAAAAUAAUAAUAAUAAUAAAAAUUAGCCGGGCAUGGUGGCGGGCGCCUGUAGUCUCAGCUACUCGGGAGGCUGAGGCAGGAGAAUGGCGUGAACUCGGGAGGCAGACCUUGCAGUGAGCCGAGAUCACGCCACUGCAUUCCAGCCUGGGCGACAGAGCAAGACACCAUCUCAAAAAAAAAAAAAAAAAUUUGGCAUGCCAUGUCGACCUUCAUCCCCCAGUUCUUUCUCCCCAAAUUAAAAACACGAAUACGCACACACGCUCCUUAGUUCCUAAAGUUCAAGGGCACGCGCACACACCUACUUAUCUUUUAACAUUCAAGCUCGCACCAAACACAGAUCCACAAGGGUGGGAAGCGUGGUGGAGGUCACCUGGCAGCGC